GCUGGAGGCCUUGUGUCCUGAUGUAUAUAAAUAUGUUCAUGAGUAUGGUAAUCGAUAUUGCAAGGGUGGAAUAUUUGGAGUGUAUCAAGGUGCAAGUAACCAUGAAGAAUUGCAUAAUUUGAUGAAGGCGACAUUGAUGAUUCGUCGACUUAAAAAAGAUGUUCUUUCUGAGCUUCCUACAAAGCGUAGGCAGCAGGUCUUCCUCGAUUUGGCUGAAAAGGACAUGAAACAAGUUAACGCCCUGUUUCGCGAGUUGGAGGUGAUAAAAGGAAAAAUUAAGGCCUGCACUUCAAAAGAAGAGGUUGAUGCAUUGAAAUUUACGGAGAAAAAU
This is a long non-coding RNA of Morus notabilis, 331 nucleotides long. RefSeq lists it as uncharacterized. The record is from RefSeq and is a predicted model, not a curated record. NCBI's taxonomy places the organism in Eukaryota, Viridiplantae, Streptophyta, Magnoliopsida, Rosales, Moraceae. The transcript is spliced from 4 exons.